GCUAGGUUGCCUUCCCAUGUAGGUGUGCUAGUUGCCUUCUGCUGAUGUGGAACCACUUAAAAUUAACCAUGUGGACUUAUUAACUAUUUUAUGCAUUAAGUUUUGUUUUCCAUAUUUAAGCUUAUAAUUUUUGUUAUUUGCAUAAUCUCCCCACUUUCAAUUAAUAAUUAAUAGUAUCUCAUAUUUUCAAAUAAAACUAAAUCUUUGUAAAAAAAAAAUUAAAUCUAUUUAUCUUUGAAAGAAAAACGAAAAUCUCUUCAAUAAUAUGCAAUUAGGAUUCUUCUUCUGCAAUUAGGGUUCUUGUUCUUCAAUGAAUCCCAAAAAUGCAUCUACUAGAUCUCAUCUCAGUUCAAUCAAAUACACCAAUACAUCUACACUGUUUCUCAACUCCCCACGCGAAUUUCCCAAACCCAAAUCCUUCCCGUUCAUCAGGAAUCCUAAUCGAAGAAGAUAUCUUCGUCUUCCCGGUCAUCGACGACGACAUUUACCAUCACCAUCGUUUUUCUCUUCACAAUCACCCCU
RNAcentral lists this long non-coding RNA (522 nucleotides) under Trifolium pratense (red clover). RNAcentral describes it as "long non-coding RNA (TPRA_LNC005364)". The record is from RNAcentral. Lineage: Eukaryota; Viridiplantae; Streptophyta; Magnoliopsida; Fabales; Fabaceae.